CACCUAUCUUCGGAUAGAAGCGAGUGGCGAACGGCUGAGUAACACGUGGAGAACCUGCCCCCUCCCCCGGGAUAGCCGCCCGAAAGGACGGGUAAUACCGGAUACCCCGGGGUGCCGCAUGGCACCCCGGCUAAAGCCCCGACGGGAGGGGAUGGUUCCGCGGCCCAUCAGGUAGACGGCGGGGUGACGGCCCACCGUGCCGACAACGGGUAGCCGGGUUGAGAGACCGACCGGCCAGAUUGGGACUGAGACACGGCCCAG
This 261-nucleotide ribosomal RNA is filed under the name uncultured bacterium. Its description in RNAcentral is "partial 16S ribosomal RNA". It matches the Rfam family "Bacterial small subunit ribosomal RNA", at positions 70 to 334 of the family's 1533-position model. The record is from RNAcentral.